UCCGCAGGCGGGUCAGUAAGUCAGGGGUGAAAGUUUGCGGCUUAACCGUAAAAUUGCCUUUGAUACUGCUGGUCUUGAGUUGCGGUGAAGUGGCUGGAAUAUGUGGUGUAGCGGUGAAAUGCAUAGAUAUCACAUAGAACACCGAUUGCGAAGGCAGGUCACUAACCGCUGACUGACGCUGAUGGACGAAAGCGUGGGGAGCGAACG
RNAcentral lists this ribosomal RNA (207 nucleotides) under uncultured bacterium. RNAcentral describes it as "partial 16S ribosomal RNA". It matches the Rfam family "Bacterial small subunit ribosomal RNA", at positions 568 to 774 of the family's 1533-position model. The record is from RNAcentral.